RNAcentral lists this long non-coding RNA (2577 nucleotides) under Marmota monax (woodchuck). The record is from RNAcentral. Lineage: Eukaryota; Metazoa; Chordata; Mammalia; Rodentia; Sciuridae.
AAAAUAGUAAACCACCUAUUGCCUUCAACUCCAGCAGCCCCAAAAGGAAUCAGUCAAGAACAAAAAGUACUCAUGCUUUCUAUCGUAUAGCAAAGUACCAUUUCAAAGUGCUUUCCCGUGUGUUACCUCACUUAUGCCUUUCAACAAAUGGGUAAGGGAGCCAGGGCAGAAAUUAUUAUCUCCAUUAUGCAGAUGAGGAAACGGAAUCACAUUUCAAACAGAACAAUCUGUCCUAGAUUGGAAAAAUAGUAAAAUGGCAAAGCUUGUUUGGACUACAGAGGAAAGUCUGAUUGCAUGUCCAUAGUCACAGAGAGGUAAUGUAACGUUAUCCAACAAUCGCUGAGCACUUGCCACACACAGGCACUGGACCAAGUACGUUGCAUGCAAAAUCUAUCUGCAUAACUCUGUGAUUUGGGUUUCACUUCCAUCAUUAUCUCCAUUUUAUGGAUGAGGAAACAGAGCUCAGAAAGAUUAAGUAACUUGUCCAAGGUAACACAGCUAUUAAGUGGUAGAGCUCUUAACUGCCAAGUUGUACAGCCUACUAAAUGCUAUGGCUUGUGUUCACCCCUUUGAGACAAUGGAGGGAGGGUUCCCAAGCCUGCCUACAGCUCUUAGCUUAUAUCUUGAGACUUUAGCCUCAGACCUAUCAGUAUCAUCUCACCAACCCUCCAGGAUAUAGAGGCCACUCAUCUGCCUUCACUCAAUAACAUUUAUGAAGAACUGAACAUGCACCAGGCACGAUGGUGCACUCCUGUAAUCCUAGUGACUCAGGAGGCUGAGGCAGGAGGAUCCCAAGUUCCAGGCCAGCAUGGGCAACUCAGCAAGAUUCACUCACUGCCCUGAUAUAAACCUGCUCCUAAUAGAAAUUCUGAUUUCAGCUGCCCCAUUCCCCAGCCAGCCACCACAUGCCCUCCCUAAGCUCCCUCUGCUCAGCUGUCCUUCCACCGACCACCACUGCUCAGCAGCAUCUGGUCUCUUCCUGGCUUCACUUCCCUCCUCACCUUGCUAAGGGCACAUGGCCUCAGCUUUGUCAUCACCCCUUGCAAACAGCCUCACUCCUUAUCCCAUCUCCUUCCACUGAAGCCACCAGGUAUAGGGCAGAUUUGAGCAUGACCCAUAUGACCUCCAGUUCCUCAUGUGCAUGCCCUUGUCUAACUCCCUACCUUCAGAUGUGGACAGGACCCACAACUUGCUUCUAACCAACAAAAUCUGGCAAGUGUGUGGGAUGUCAUAUGUCAUCCUGUGAUGCAGCUACACUCAUGGCAAAGGUGAGGCCUUAUUUAAGGCCCCCUUAGCCAGGUGCAGUGAUGCACGCCUGUAAUCUUAGCAGCUCAGGAGGCUGAGGUAGGAUUGCAUGUUCAAGGCCAGCCUUAGCCACUUAGCAAGACCUUAAGCAACUCAGCAAGACUCUGUCUCAAAAUAAAAAAUAGAAAGGGCUAGGGAUGUGGCUCAGGGUUAAGCUCCCCUGGGUUCAAUCCCAGGUACCAAAACAAAAACAAAAAACCCUCUUAGGUGAGAGGGAGAGGCUCUCCUUCUCUGCUUGCUGACUUGAUCAUGUCAGUGGUGGUGUUGGAGAAGCCCACAUGGCAAAGGAUCAUGGGUGGCCACUCAGGCCCUAGGGGCAGCCUGCAGCUGACAGCCAGCAAAAAUCCAGGUUCAAAGCCAUGGCCCUGUCAUAUGGUACAAGGAAAUGAAUUCUAUCAACAAGCUGAAUAAAUCUGAAAGUGUCUCCCCCUGCCCACUGUGGAGCUUCCAGUGAUUCUGGCCAACACUUGGUUGCAGCCUUGAGAGAUUCUGAGCCUGAGGACCAGGCUAAGCAGUGCCACACUCCUUGCCCACAGGAACUGGGCGAUAACAAAUAUGCACCUGUGAAAGCAUGUUGGUUACGUUAAUUGUUAUACAACAGUGGACAACUAAUCCCAAACCCUGAUCUCCACCUUCUAGAAAACAGCCCAUCAAUGGACCUGACUUGAUUGAUAACCAGAACCUCACAUGAGGAACCUGCUCUGCUUCUCCACCAGGCUGGCUUGGCAGGCUCCAUGAUGACUGCCUGGCCACUGUCUUCUUUCCCCAGAGCCCCAUUCCCUUCCCUACAUCCUCCUCAGAAAAUGAUCCUACUUUAUUCUUCAUGUUGAAUAUGGAGAAUUUCGAUAAUACUUGAGGACAGAAUUUUUGCCAGCUGCAAAGGGAAACGUCUGUAAUCCCAGAGGCUCAGGAGGCUGAGGGCAGGAAGAUCGUCCAUUCAAAUCCAGCCUCAGCAACUUAGUGAGCCCCUCAACAAUUUAGUGAGAUCCUAUCUCAAUAUAAGAAAAAUAUGAAAAGUCCCGGGAAUGUAGUACAGAGGUAAAGCACCCGUGGGUUCAAUCUCUUAUCAAAAAAAAAAAUUAAAAAGUGGGGGGCGGGGAGCAAGAAAUUAAAUGUAUCCAGCUAGGUACAGUAUCACUAACACCUAUAAUUUCAGCUACGUGGAAAGCUGAGGCAGGAGGAUCACAAAUUUAAGGCCAGCCUGGGCAAUUUAGCAAGACCCUGUCUCAAAAUAAAAACUAAAAGAGGGCUAGGGAUAUAGCUCAGUGGUAG